Molecule: non-coding RNA, 172 nt
Filed under: bovine gut metagenome
Description: 6S / SsrS RNA
Rfam family: 6S / SsrS RNA
About the family: E. coli 6S RNA was the first non coding RNA to be sequenced, but its function was unknown until recently. It consists of 184 nucleotides that fold into an extended hairpin structure with a large single-stranded internal bulge.
Source: RNAcentral
UGCCUGGGAUGUACGACAACUUCUGAUAUUUUGAACCUACACUUUUGAACAGGGAUUCCUAUAUUUUUUUCAGGAUGUCAUGCCGCCUUUGAGCGGAAGGCUGAGUGGACGAUGCGGAAACCCACCUAGCUUAUGCUAGGACUCAAAAUUCAGGAACCGGCAUUUUGGGUGA